This 460-nucleotide ribosomal RNA is filed under the name uncultured bacterium. RNAcentral's name for it is "partial 16S ribosomal RNA". It matches the Rfam family "Bacterial small subunit ribosomal RNA", at positions 338 to 795 of the family's 1533-position model. The record is from RNAcentral.
CCUACGGGAGGCAGCAGUGAGGAAUAUUGGUCAAUGGACGAGAGUCUGAACCAGCCAAGUAGCGUGAAGGAUGACUGCCCUAUGGGUUGUAAACCUCUUUUAUAUGGGAAUAAAAUGUUCCACGUGUGGGAUUUUGUAUGUACCAUAUGAAUAAGGAUAGGCUAACUCCGUGCCAGCAGCCGCGGUAAUACGGAGGUUCCGAGCGUUAUCCGGAUUUAUUGGGUUUAAAGGGAGCGUAGGUGGAUUUUUAAGUCAGUUGUGAAAGUUUGCGGCUCAACCGUAAAAUUGCAGUGGAAACUGGCAGUCUUGAGUCCAGUAGAGGUGGGCGGAAUUCGUGGUGUAGCGGUGAAAUGCUUAGAUAUCACGAAGAACUCCGAUAGCGAAGGCAGCUCGCUGGACUGCAACUGACGCUGAGGCUCGAAAGUGUGGGUAUCGAACAGGAUUAGAUACCCGAGUAGUC